This 375-nucleotide transfer-messenger RNA is filed under the name Clostridiaceae bacterium. It matches the Rfam family "transfer-messenger RNA". Rfam says of the family: Bacterial tmRNA, also known as 10Sa RNA or SsrA, is named for its dual tRNA and mRNA-like properties. RNAcentral also lists the same sequence under 1 other name. The record is from RNAcentral. Lineage: Bacteria; Bacillati; Bacillota; Clostridia; Eubacteriales; Clostridiaceae.
GGGAGCGCACUGGUUUCGACGGGGUUGUUGCAUCUUGAGAAGCGGGUAGAGGAUUCUCGUUGGCCUCUGUAAAAAACGAGAAAAUUUUUAAAUGCCAAAAAACCGGCACUAGCCGCUGCAUAAGCACUGCGGCCGUCAUACCUGAAUAUCUGCCAUCAGGAGUCAUGACGUCAUUUGGCAGACCUUAUCUGCUGGAGGUUAAACAGAGAAACUUUCUAACCCUUGCUUGAUGGUUAGAAUGUAUUUAAAGCUACCGGACCGUCAAGCCUGUCAGUAGGCGUGGCGGAAGGGGAAUACUCCAAGUACUGACUGCACCCGGAGAAACUCAUGGGAAUACGGUUCCGGACAGGGGUUCGACUCCCCUCGCUUCCACCA